UACGGAGGGUGCAAGCGUUAAUCGGAAUUACUGGGCGUAAAGCGCGCGUAGGCGGCUUUGCAAGUCGGAUGUGAAAUCCCCAGGCUUAACCUGGGAACUGCAUUCGAGACUGCAUUGCUAGAGUAUGGGAGAGGGAAGUGGAAUUUCCGGUGUAGCGGUGAAAUGCGUAGAUAUCGGAAGGAACAUCAGUGGCGAAAGCGACUUCCUGGACCAAUACUGACGCUCAUGUGCGAAAGCGUGGGGAGCAAACAGG
This 253-nucleotide ribosomal RNA is filed under the name uncultured bacterium. RNAcentral describes it as "partial 16S ribosomal RNA". It matches the Rfam family "Bacterial small subunit ribosomal RNA", at positions 524 to 776 of the family's 1533-position model. The record is from RNAcentral.